This is a long non-coding RNA of Gopherus flavomarginatus (Mexican gopher tortoise), 5091 nucleotides long. RefSeq lists it as uncharacterized. The transcript is spliced from 3 exons. The record is from RefSeq and is a predicted model, not a curated record. NCBI's taxonomy places the organism in Eukaryota, Metazoa, Chordata, Testudines, Testudinidae.
CUGGGGGCCAGGAUGAAGUCGUAGAUCAGGGCGGCACUUGCACCUCCCAGCAUUGGGCCCACCCAGAAGAUCUGAAAUACAACAUCAAACUCAGGAACAUGGGGUUCUGAUGGUAAAUUAUUCCACUGGUCCCACAUAUCUGCUAUCCUACAUCUAGCACCAUCUACCACACACCUGACCAAGGUGCUUGUCCUGCAAUUGGACCUGCAUGGGAUUUCUACAGGAUCGGAGCCCAGGUGCUGUAUAAGAACAAAGAACGACCAUUCAAAAUACAAGUUUGAAGAAUACCAGCUCUAAGAAGAGAGAGGAAAUGUUUCGUGUUGGAAACGGAGUAUCACUGCUUGUAGAGAACCUAGCACAACAGGGUUCUGCUCCUUGACUCAGGCUCCUAGGGUAUGUCUACACUGCCCACUAAGCCUGGGCUCUGACUCCGGUUUAAGCCCAAGCCCGUCUUCUGUCCAGAAACUGAGUAGGUUCAGCAAACGUUCAGGAAGGUCCUCUUGAUUUUGUUACAGAGUGAUAUCCAGGGGAAAGGACAGUAUCACUCAGACACAGCAAAUCUACCUCUUCCAAAGAUAAUCUUCAUCUGUAAGGAGCUUCGCAAUUGCCCAUUUACCCAAUGGCAUGGUUAAAAACCCUGAGCUUCGUUACUUGAGCAUUGAUUAUUAAGCGUUGCUCAGGGACAACACACUGCUCCCUUUCUGGGAUGAUUUUUAUCUAUAUGAACCUGGCAACCAUUCAUUGACUCCAUGGCCGUGUAGAAGAGUGUGGUCUAUAAGUAAAUCUGUCUUGGCGUUUGCAUGCAGAACUGCAGGUAGUUCUACUACAGCGCACUCCUGAUUUAAAGUAGAUAAUGUCCAGAAACAGCUUUCAUUUUUGCCGGUCUGUUUAAUGCACACUUGGAAUUACAUCACCCAUUGUUCAGUUCACAAGACCCAUCUCAAGCCUUGGUAAAGGCAAGCAGGUAAUGUAAUCUGAUGGGAUGGUUCAACAGCCUGCAAGAUUCAAGGUACAUUUAUUGUUCAAACAGUGAUCACUAGAGCUGCUCAUGGAGUGAGCAGAAUUCCUUCUCUGUGCAGUUGUGAGAAACAUAUGGCAGCCACAUUGCAAAUAGCUCUUACAGGUGACAAAAUGCUUCUCUCUUUGAUUUGUCCAUGAGUGGAGGUAUUCAAGCUACCUUCUUGCUGUUGCUCUUCAUGGACAUAUUUAGCUGACCCAUUUCCACCACUUUGAGCAGGAGUGUGGGCAAUUAAUGGCAUGUUUUCUUUCCUUUUGUUUUAUCAGAGCAGGACAUUUCUUAGUAAUCUGACUUCAAAACAGAAACAGGGAACAGGAAAUUAAACUGGCCCAAGGUGAACAUGACUAUGUACUUUUAUGGGGGCUUCAUAUUUUUUGUAUUAGGGACAAAAGUACAUCAAGUCAAAACAUGGUUCCAAUUACAUGGACAAGAGAAUAGAAAGGACAUUAUUAUUUGUUACCCAAGGUGGUUUUAUCACGUGGAACUAUGUGCCAUAUCAUCCAGCACCCUUCUAGCUAUGUAGCAUACAUUCCAGGGUUCAAUUCACUUUUAUAUAACAGGGAAUUGGUCAGUUUCUCAUCAUUCCUUUAAAAUAUGGAACUUUUUGCAAAUGAGUACAUCAACCUUGCAUAGGGGACAUAGUCAUCUUUGUAUCUUCCGAACACUUCUCUACUUGCCAUACUGAUAUGUUUUCUCCUAGCAUGAAAAUUAAGCAAUAUGGAAUGUUGAAUUUCAUUGACAAAAACCUCCAGAGUUACUUUUAGUGCCAUUCAAUUCUAGAAAUUACAGAUGGAAAAGACCUGUUAGGUCUUCCCUUUAGCAGUACUGGAAUGUUCCCUAUAGUAUGGCUUAUCUAGUCUGGUUUUAAGGAAUGGGAUUUUUAUCACCUCUCUUGGGAAUCUAUUGCAUAGUUUCACAGAGUUUAAGGCUCAAAAGCACCAUUAGAUCAUGCAGUCUGACCUCCUGUGUUUAACAGGUAAUUAAUUUUUAUCAAUAUACCCCUAUAUUAUGCCCAAAGAUUUUAGUUGGGUCAAAGCAUUAUAGUCCUAGGAGACUAAUCUGUGUGCUGCAAUUUACUUUCCUGUUCUCCCAUCUCUAUUGCUAGCUAGUCCCCUUAGACCAUCCUAAAUAAUUAUUCUCCCUUCUUCCACUAACAGGUAAUGCAUAUUUAUGCAUUAACCCUGAAGAACCCCACAUACAGCAUAGCUUGCAAAAUAACUAUAUAGCACUGUGAGAGUUAAAAGAUUCUUCCACUGUGCUGGGCUCAUUGAAAUCCUUAAUUCCCCCAAACUUUCUUUUAAUAUGUUUAGAGUGUAAAUGCAGUGUGCACAGAACCUAGCAUCUGUGGGGCAUUACUGUAAUACAGAUAAUAUAAUCAAUAAUAAUAAUAAUAAUUAAUAAUAAUAAUAAUUAAUAAUUAGUAUCUUUUCCCUACAGUGAACUCAUUCUUUAGUAUGUAACAUACAAGAAGCUUCUAAUAACUACCACUAGACAUCCCCAUAUUUCCCACCAUAGACAUUAGCUCACCCAGUCCAUCUCCCUCCCAGUGCAGGUCUGUUCCCUAAAGAACAUUUCCUGCUGCUUUCCCCAGCCGAGUUUGAAGUAUCCUAAGUGAUGCAGCUCUCCCCACUUCUUUCAGGAGGUUGUUUCACAGACAUGCACUCUCUGAAAUUGUUCCUUACUAUUUAACUUAAACACUCCCCUGCUUAAUCUUACCCUGUUCUUUCUAAUGAUAAUUCAUUGUACGACCUGAAAUGAUUAAUCUCCUUCUUUUCUAUUCAUACUCUAAAAAUAUUAAUACAUUGUUAUCAUAGCCAUUAGUCAUUAUUUAGCCAACCUACAGAGAUUCAUAUUAAACUCUAUGAAUCUCAUUUCAUAAAUCAAUAUCUGCAGUCCACCCACACAACCACUUUGUUCUACUCCAAAGUCCCUCAGUUAUUCUGUUGGUACAGGACACCUUUCCUCAGACUGGCUCAUCUGUUGUCUCCUUUAACUCAGGUAACUAUGUCCCGACCACCACAAUUCAUGGUGCUGUACCAAUUGGAUAUGAGCAGCUUCACUUCCUGUCCUAGCCUGUACUUAGGGGUUUUAUGCACCGUAGAACUAUGGCAGCAUUUAAUCCCAGUGAUGGUGGCAAUUCAAUGGGGGACCAAAACAAUCACUCUAUGUCACGUGGGUAUUUUUUAAGGGACUUCGAGAUACUGUAGGAUCACAGCACUGAAGUCAGUGGGACUGCUCACACGACUGAAGUUAGUAAAAGCUGUUAUCCAGCACUUUACAAACCGGAAAGCUCUAUAAACCGGCAUUUCUGAUCUUCACUGAAAGCCUGAUUUAUAGUCCAGUUGGUGUGGGGCCAGCAGGCUUCCAACCUGGCUCUGCUUGGCUCCCCAGAAGUGGCAACAUGUCUCUCCUGCUGCUAGGUGGAUGAACGGUCACAAGGGGUUCAGAGUGCGGGAGGGGGUGCAGGGCUGGGGGUUGGGGUGCGGGACAGGGUGUUGGGUGCAGACUCUGGGAAGGAGUUUAGGUGAGGGAGGGGCUUGGGGCAGGGGGUUGUGGCACAGGAGGGGUUUCAGGGUGCUGGAUCCAGGUGGCACUCACUUCACGUGGCUCCCCGCAAGCAGUGACCUGUCCCUGUUGCUCCUAGGAGGAGGCAUGGCUAGGUGGCUCUGCGUGCUGCCUCUGCCCUGCCCUGACCGCUGGCUCUGCAGUUCCCAUUGGCCAGGAACCGCAGCCAAUGGGAGCUGCGAGGGCAGUGCCUGUGGAUGGAGGCAGCAUGCAGAGCUGCCUAGCUGCACCUCCAACUACGAGCAUUAGGGACAGGUCAUAGCUUGCAGGGAGCUGCCCAAGGUGAGAACUGCCCAGAUCUGGCACUCCACACCCCCUCCUGCACCGCAUCCCCCUGCCCAUAAACCCCUCCUGCACCCAAACUCCCUCCCAGAGCCCACACCCUGUACCUCUUCCCACGCCCCAACCCCCACCCUGCACCCCCUCCUGCACCCAAACUCCCUCCCUCUUAGUUAACCGAAAUUUUUUCCUUAUCGGCACCUCCAUUCCCCCACCAGGCUGGAUAAAAGAGCUUUUACUACAUGUGCUUUGUUGCAUACUGUUUUGUUCAGUUGGGGUCAAAAUACGCUAUGGCCACGAUCUGGCAAAGCACAGAAGUAUGUGCAUAACUUCAAUCGUGAUUAAUAUUCCACAUGCUUAAGUGCUUUGUCAAAUCAGGGCCCAGAUUCUGUGAGUUAUUAUAAAGUUAUCAAUAUUGCGAUGAAGUUGUCAUCUUCAUAACUUUACAAAGGCUUUGACAUUCAGAUUUACCUUUGUUUGUUACACAGCAGGUAAAGCAUUAAGAGUUCUCCCUGAGUUGACUAUUUAAUAAUGUUAAAUCCUCAGCAGUUGGGUAAUUGAUUAAUCAUAACAUGUUAAUAAUUGUUCUGUAUGGUAGACCUCAAACCACUUUUGUGGAAGAGCUCAAACCACUUGACAAACAAUAAUUAAUUAACAACAUGCCUGUGAGACAGGCAUUAUUACACCCAUUAUUUAGCUGGUUUUGAUUUAUAUAGUGCCACUUGUCCGAAAUCUCUGGGACACAAAGAGAUUUAAGUGGGCUUUUUGUCUCAGACCACACAACAAGGGCAUGCUCCAAAACUCAUUGAAGUUAAUGGAAAUCUUUUUAAAAGACUUCAUCAGCCUGUCGGUCAGUGAUAGAACCUGCAGUAGACUAUGGGGGCAUAACUUCCUGUCCUCUGCCAGACUCUCCCUCCCAACAAAUACAGAUGAGAAAAUCCUAGAUGCCAGCCCAGGCAUUUCUCUAAGAACAGCUGUCUUCCACUCUUUGGACAGUAGACAAUCUCAAAUAAUAAGACCCAACCACUAUCCUCCAACCCUCUCCACUACAGGGUGAGAAAUUAGUCAUUCCUUUUGUGUUACAGGGCCCAAUGGGCUAUAAAGAGAAGAAUGAUGGCUUCAUUUAUAUUAAACCAAUGUAUAUAAAUCUAAUGUAUGUGUCCAGUGGCAGACAAUAAAUGUCAAUAUAUCUACAAGUCUUUCAUUAAACAUCGCCUGUGUGAGGCAAA